RNAcentral lists this ribosomal RNA (253 nucleotides) under uncultured bacterium. Its description in RNAcentral is "partial 16S ribosomal RNA". It matches the Rfam family "Bacterial small subunit ribosomal RNA", at positions 524 to 776 of the family's 1533-position model. The record is from RNAcentral.
UACAGAGGUGGCAAGCGUUGUUCGGAAUUACUGGGCGUAAAGGGCGCGUAGGCGGCCAUCUAAGUCAGACGUGAAAUCCCCCGGCUUAACCUGGGAACUGCGUCUGAUACUGGACGGCUCGAGUUUGGGAGAGGGAUGUGGAAUUCCAGGUGUAGCGGUGAAAUGCGUAGAUAUCUGGAGGAAUACCGGUGGCGAAGGCGGCAUCCUGGACCGACAUUGACGCUGAGGAGCGAAAGCUAGGGGAGCAAACGGG